UGGGGAAUCUUGCACAAUGGGGGAAACCCUGAUGCAGCGACGCCGCGUGAGUGAUGAAGUCCUUCGGGAUGUAAAGCUCUUUCGACAGGGACGAUUAUGACGGUACCUGGAGAAGAAGCUGCGGCUAACUACGUGCCAGCAGCCGCGGUAAUACGUAGGGUGCGAGCGUUAAUCGGAAUUACUGGGCGUAAAGCGUGCGCAGGCGGCGACAUAAGACAGAUGUGAAAUCCCCGGGCUCAACCUGGGAACUGCGUUUGUGACUGUGUUGCUAGAGUGUAGCAGAGGGGGUGGAAUUCCACGUGUAGCAGUGAAAUGCGUAGAGAUGUGGAGGAACACCGAUGGCGAAGGCAGCCCCCUGGGUUAACACUGACGCUCAUGCACGAAAGCGUGGGGAGCAAACAGGAUUAGAUACCCCAGUAGUCCCUGAGCGGGCUGGCAAGGCGCAU
RNAcentral lists this ribosomal RNA (446 nucleotides) under uncultured bacterium. RNAcentral's name for it is "bacterial SSU rRNA". It matches the Rfam family "Bacterial small subunit ribosomal RNA", at positions 355 to 825 of the family's 1533-position model. The record is from RNAcentral.